UGCGACCAUCAUUGAGCACCUCAGUCCUCUGAUGUGUUUGGCUGAGCUGGAUGGCAGGCUGGCUGCAGUCAGGGGAGAGAGGACAAACGAUCAGGUGUGGGUCCAGAGCCAGAAGAGUGGAGUGAUGGGGCAGGGCCUCCAGUGCUGGUUUCAGCAGGAGGAGGCAUCCAGGGCCGGGGGUGGAGUGGAGUAUUGAGGAGUGAAUAUGUGCCGUAUAAGUCUAUCCUUGAAUAUUCAUCCAUCUGGUAGAACUUCAUGACACGUUCUCUAACUUCAGCUGACAGUGGUUUUCCCUUGUUCACAUGCAGCUCACCAAGUAUUCCCUGUUGUUCUCUAACAGUCUUUGCUUUCCUCACCAUAUGAGUAGUG
This is a long non-coding RNA of Neoarius graeffei (lesser salmon catfish), 369 nucleotides long. RefSeq lists it as uncharacterized. Lineage: Eukaryota; Metazoa; Chordata; Actinopteri; Siluriformes; Ariidae. The record is from RefSeq and is a predicted model, not a curated record. The transcript has 3 exons.